RNAcentral lists this ribosomal RNA (477 nucleotides) under Staphylococcus aureus. RNAcentral describes it as "bacterial SSU rRNA". It matches the Rfam family "Bacterial small subunit ribosomal RNA", at positions 1 to 467 of the family's 1533-position model. Lineage: Bacteria; Bacillati; Bacillota; Bacilli; Caryophanales; Staphylococcaceae. The record is from RNAcentral.
UUUAUGGAGAGUUUGAUCCUGGCUCAGGAUGAACGCUGGCGGCGUGCCUAAUACAUGCAAGUCGAGCGAACGGACGAGAACCUUGCUUCUCUGAUGUUAGCGGCGGACGGGUGAGUAACACGUGGAUAACCUACCUAUAAGACUGGGAUAACUUCGCGAAACCGGAGCUAAUACCGGAUAAUAUUUUGAACCGCAUGGUUCAAAAGUGAAAGACGGUCUUGCUGUCACUUGUAGAUGGAUCCGCGCUGCAUUAGCUAGUUGGUAAGGUAACGGCUUACCAAGGCAACGAUGCAUAGCCGACCUGAGAGGGUGAUCGGCCACACUGGAACUGAGACACGGUCCAGACUCCUACGGGAGGCAGCAGUAGGGAAUCUUCCGCAAUGGGCGAAAGCCUGACGGAGCAACGCCGCGUGAGUGAUGAAGGUCUUCGGAUCGUAAAACUCUGUUAUUAGGGAAGAACAUAUGUGUAAGUAACUG